AACGAACGCUGGCGGCAGGCUUAACACAUGCAAGUCGAACGCAUCCUUCGGGGUGAGUGGCAGACGGGUGAGUAACGCGUGGGAACGUGCCCUUCAGUUCGGGAUAACCCAGGGAAACUUGGGCUAAUACCGGAUACGUGCGAGAGCAGAAAGAUUUAUCGCUGAAGGAUCGGCCCGCGUCUGAUUAGCCGGUUGGUGGGGUAAUGGCCCACCAAGGCGACGAUCAGUAGCUGGUCUGAGAGGAUGAUCAGCCACAUUGGGACUGAGACACGGCCCAAACUCCUACGGGAGGCAGCAGUGGGGAAUAUUGGACAAUGGGCGCAAGCCUGAUCCAGCCAUGCCGCGUGAGUGAUGAAGGCCUUAGGGUUGUAAAGCUCUUUCGUCCGGGACGAUAAUGACGGUACCGGAAGAAGAAGCCCCGGCUAACUUCGUGCCAGCAGCCGCCGUAA
This 449-nucleotide ribosomal RNA is filed under the name uncultured bacterium. Its description in RNAcentral is "partial 16S ribosomal RNA". It matches the Rfam family "Bacterial small subunit ribosomal RNA", at positions 29 to 523 of the family's 1533-position model. The record is from RNAcentral.